Molecule: ribosomal RNA, 615 nt
Filed under: uncultured bacterium
Lineage: Bacteria
Description: bacterial SSU rRNA
Rfam family: Bacterial small subunit ribosomal RNA
Source: RNAcentral
CCUACGGGAGGCAGCAGUGGGGAAUUUUGGACAAUGGGCGCAAGCCUGAUCCAGCAAUGCCGCGUGCAGGAUGAAGGCCUUCGGGUUGUAAACUGCUUUUGUACGGAACGAAAAAGUCUGCCCUAAUACGGUGGGCCCAUGACGGUACCGUAAGAAUAAGCACCGGCUAACUACGUGCCAGCAGCCGCGGUAAUACGUAGGGUGCGAGCGUUAAUCGGAAUUACUGGGCGUAAAGCGUGCGCAGGCGGUUAUAUAAGACAGAUGUGAAAUCCCCGGGCUCAACCUGGGACCUGCAUUUGUGACUGUAUAGCUAGAGUACGGUAGAGGGGGAUGGAAUUCCGCGUGUAGCAGUGAAAUGCGUAGAUAUGCGGAGGAACACCGAUGGCGAAGGCAAUCCCCUGGACCUGUACUGACGCUCAUGCACGAAAGCGUGGGGAGCAAACAGGAUUAGAUACCCUGGUAGUCCACGCCCUAAACGAUGUCAACUGGUUGUUGGGUCUUCACUGACUCAGUAACGAAGCUAACGCGUGAAGUUGACCGCCUGGGGAAGUACGGCCGCAAGGUUGAAACUUCAAAGAGAGUUGCGNGNGAGNGCGACGAGCACAGGAGGAGAGG